AACGAACGCUGGCGGCAUGCCUAACACAUGCAAGUCGAACGAAACCAAGGCUUCGGCCUGAAGUUUAGUGGCGCACGGUGCGUAACGCGUGGGAAUCUGCCCUUGGGUUCGGAAUAACUCAGAGAAAUUUGAGCUAAUACCGGAUGAUGACGUAAGUCCAAAGAUUUAUCGCCCAAGGAUGAGCCCGCGUAAGAUUAGCUUGUUGGUGAGGUAAAGGCUCACCAAGGCGACGAUCUUUAGCUGGUCUGAGAGGAUGAUCAGCCACACUGGGACUGAGACACGGCCCAGGACUCCUACGGGAGGCAGCAGUGGGGAAUAUUGGACAAUGGGCGAAAGCCUGAUCCAGCAAUGCCGCGUGAGUGAUGAAGGCCUUA
This 374-nucleotide ribosomal RNA is filed under the name uncultured bacterium. RNAcentral describes it as "bacterial SSU rRNA". It matches the Rfam family "Bacterial small subunit ribosomal RNA", at positions 29 to 419 of the family's 1533-position model. The record is from RNAcentral.